UUAAGUUCAGCGGGUAUCCCUACCUGAUCCGAGGUCAACCUUGUAUAAAAUUCUCCCUGAGGGGAGGCAGACCGUGUCCCGUGAACCCACGAUCCGGUACGUGCUCGGUGAAGAACUCAGUGUACCGGGGGUCCAACGAGGCCGCCGUCAUUGUCUUUGGGAGGGGUGCGAGGGUGCCCGCGGGGGCUUCUCCACCAGCC
RNAcentral lists this unclassified non-coding RNA (200 nucleotides) under Exophiala sp. RNAcentral describes it as "partial internal transcribed spacer 2". Lineage: Eukaryota; Fungi; Ascomycota; Eurotiomycetes; Chaetothyriales; Herpotrichiellaceae. The record is from RNAcentral.